AAAUUAAACAAAAUAAUUACAAAAACAAGAACGAUUUUCUUAUUCCUCCCACCGUGUCCCUCUUCUUUCUAAACCCUAUCUCUCAAACAUCUCUCUCAAAAAUGGAUUCCUUCUUUUUCUUCUCUUUGCUAGUCUGCCCCUUCUGAAACGGCACGGACUCAAAACUCCCUGAGCCUAUACCUGGUGAACUCCUUGGGGCUGAGAAGAAAGCUUAGCCGGAAGGACGACGGGAGAUGAUCGUUCGGACAGGAGAUGUGGACGAGUUUUAGCCUAGCUCCCAGAAUAAGGUACCGGGACCUCAUUGAGCACAAGAUUUGAGCGGCCUAUUGCCCUCGCCCAUAUUCGUUGUUUCUAUCUGCUAUCUCUCUCAAUAAACUCUCCACUCAAUCACAAGUAUUUCGUUUUUUUUUCUGGUGUUCUCUUGAGUGGUGUUUUUAUCUUAUUAAAUCAAUGAAGGGUUAUUAUGCUUUGCAUAGUAUUGUUUCUAAGAUUUGAUUUUACACAAAGCAAUGUAAGCUAUGAUUGGAGGGCUUGUAUAUAUUAUCAUUAACAAGCUAAGGACUCCAUGUGCUACCCCAGUUUUCUUUGCAGUGUUUGAAAAAGUGAUUGAUUUGCUGACUUGCAAUUGAUUGGAGUAUAGGAGCUUGAGUUAAAGAAAAUCUUUGUUCAACUUUAUCUGUGUUUUUUCUUGGUGGACAAGCUAAGCAUUUGACUCAACCCAAGGCUGAGAAGAAAGAAGACAGACUUCAAAGAAACUAUUUUGCAACAGUUUGCAAGAUGCUAAAACUCUACUUGGAUAUUUAAGAGAACCAAGACAAUUAUAUAAGAGAACCAAGGCAACACGAAAUUCUUCUUCAAGUUGUUGGGUAUUAUUUUAUUUCUUGCUUGUAAGAAUUAUGUACAGUGAAGAUUUGAUGUAUUAUUUACAUCGAGAAUAAUAAAUUUUUAUUGAGAAUUAUAAUGAAUUUUCAUUAAGACUUAUUUAGUCUCAUGGGGA
Molecule: long non-coding RNA, 997 nt
Organism: Humulus lupulus (European hop)
Lineage: Eukaryota; Viridiplantae; Streptophyta; Magnoliopsida; Rosales; Cannabaceae
Exons: 6
Source: RefSeq, a predicted model, not a curated record